Molecule: transfer RNA, 83 nt
Filed under: Acidobacteriota bacterium
Lineage: Bacteria; Pseudomonadati; Acidobacteriota
Description: Acidobacteria bacterium tRNA-Lys
Rfam family: tRNA (bases 12-80)
About the family: Transfer RNA (tRNA) molecules are approximately 80 nucleotides in length. Their secondary structure includes four short double-helical elements and three loops (D, anti-codon, and T loops).
Source: RNAcentral
GUGAGUUGCUAGAGCAUGGAUGACAGAGCCUUAGCUGACUCUUAAUCAGUAGGUUGAAGGUUCGAUUCCUUCCGCGCUCACCA